CGCGGUAAUUCCAGCUCCAAUAGCGUAUACUAAAGUGUUGCAGUUAAAAAGCUCGUAGUUGGAUUUCUGGCGGGGACGGCUGGUCGGUCUCGAAAGGGGCUGUACUGUUGUUGGUUCCCGUCAUCCUUGGGGAGAGCGGCUCUUACAUUAAGUUGUCGGCGUCGGGAUCCCUAUCUUUUACUGUGAAAAAAUUAGAGUGUUCAAAGCAGGCUUAGGCCCUGAAUACAUUAGCAUGGAAUAAUAAGAUACGACCUUGGUGGUCUAUUUUGUUGGUUCGCACGCCAAGGUAAUGAUUAAUAGGGAUAGUUGGGGGUAUUCGUAUUCAAUUGUCAGAGGUGAAAUUCUUGGAUUUAUGGAAGACGAACUACUGCGAAAGCAUUUACCAAGGAUGUUUUCAUUAAUCAAGAACGAAAGUUAGGGGAUCGAAGAUGAUUAGAUACCAUCGUAGUCUUAACCAUAAACUAUGCCGACUAGGGAUCGGUGGGUGCAUUUUUAGGCCUCAUCGGCACCUUAUGAGAAAUCAAAGUCUUUGGGUUCCGGGGGGAGUAUGGUCGCAAGGCUGAAACUUAAAGAAAUUGACGG
This 582-nucleotide ribosomal RNA is filed under the name uncultured Eustigmatophyceae. RNAcentral describes it as "SSU rRNA". It matches the Rfam family "Eukaryotic small subunit ribosomal RNA", at positions 575 to 1159 of the family's 1831-position model. Lineage: Eukaryota; Eustigmatophyceae. The record is from RNAcentral.